GUCAAAUCAUGUCUCUAAUAUAAUGUACUAUACUGAUAAAAGAUAAAAUUAUACCACCUCGAUGCCAGUCACAGAACCAGAACUAUAUCCUGCAACUCUUCUUAAAGAACAUUCUGAACUGACAAAGGCAGCCGAAGGUACUCAACAGUGAUAGCAUCCUUUAACAGAUCUCUGUGCCAGAGAUUUCCCUGAGGGGUUCCCAGGGAUGCCACCAUGGUUCCCAAAGCUCAGACCUUGAAGUCAGAGUCUGUGUGAAUCUGGAUUGCAGUGACUGUGACAUUAACCUCAGGCCCACGUCCCUGGAGGCAGGCCCCUUCUUCCCCCAAAGCUCAGAGCUGGCAAGGAUAUCCUCACCUUGUUCUGCCCUCGGGUAUCUGCUGGGCUAGGAGGUGUGGGGAGAGUGGGUGGAGUAAUUCCAGCUCCAAUGGAGCAGUUUCUAAAAAGUCAUUUCCAUAAAAUAUAGCUUCAAAGAGAGAAAGCCAUUCUGCACUUACCCAGACUAUGUCUUCUUCAAACUCACCUCCCGACACUACAUGUUAAGAAGUGGAAGAGUGGCCCAGGGUUUCCCUGGAGAUCUGGUGCCAUGCACUGUUCCAUGGGCUUACAUGAUCACAAAUCUGCCCCCUCUGAGUGUGCACCAGACAGCACCUUACUGCGGAUUUUCUCCCUGGCAGGAUGUUUCAAGGGUUUUUCAGGAAUGGGCUGCAAUUUGGAAGUUUAUGUGCCAGUGCAGUGAAUUUCUCUCUCUGCUCUCUCUCCUUGCCUCCCAGGAUCCAUCUGAUAAAGUUGCAGAGGCAUCUUGGAUUUACAACACCCCCUGCCAGCCCCUCACUGAACCACACAUCAUCUGCAGCAGGAGGCGUUGGAUUACAUUUGGCUGGAGCGCCCGCAUCAACUCCAGUUGUCCCUGAAUUGGAACUGAUGGGCCUCACGUGCCACAGCCAACAGUUUGUCUUCACCCACUCCCCUCUCUGGAAUGAACCUUUCUCUGGGAAAACAAGAAACCUACGUGCCAUCCUGGGUGAGAGACAAACAGGAGCUGCAUCCCAGGAUCGCAUCCCCAGUAUGAUGGGUUCCCCACAGCAAGCCACACUUCAAGCAUCUCUGGAAAGACCUUCUGAACCACAGGACACAAAUGCUCCCUCUGGAGGACCGGAGCCUCUGUGUUCCUCUCAGCUCACAGGCAUCCAUUCUUCCUGCAUUCAGGCUCCUUGAGGAAUGCCUUUAGCUCUAGCUAUUGCAAGCUUUUAAGAACUUAUUGGAACACAAAUGCUCAUUUCAAGGAAACAGAUAACAGUUGCAAAUGGAUUAAACGUAAUCCCUGUGCUGGAGCCCUUGAAGGAAAAGAGAUGGGGGUUUCUGGGCUGUGAGAUGAAGCUUGGUCAAGGAUGCUUGCUUUGAGGACUCUGCUCUGAAAACCCAGGUAAGCAAAAUAGUGGAAUGUUAGCCCUUAAAUGAACUUUGAACCCAACCCAACCCCAUUCGCUUAUAGAGGAGGAAACCAAGGCUCAGAAUGAAACAAGCAAGGCCAAGGUUAACACAACCAGCCAGUGACAGGCCUCCCCAACAGCCUGGGCCUGGGCUCUUAGCUCUCCCCCAUGCGGUUUUUCGUCCUGGGAGAAAGUGAAAUUAAAUAAAGACAAAAAGUUAGUUCUAAACUCUGGCCUG
RNAcentral lists this long non-coding RNA (1668 nucleotides) under Sus scrofa (pig). RNAcentral's name for it is "lncRNA (ENSSSCG00035080911.1)". The record is from RNAcentral. Lineage: Eukaryota; Metazoa; Chordata; Mammalia; Artiodactyla; Suidae.